AGUGAGCGCUGGCGGUAGGCCUAACACAUGCAAGUCGAACGGCCGCACAGUAAGCGCUUGCUCUUACGGGUGGCGAGUGGCGGACGGGUGAGGAAUACAUCGGCAUCUACUUUUUCGUGGGGGAUAACGUAGGGAAACUUACGCUACUACCUCAUACGACCUACGGGUGAAAUCAGGGGUUCUUCGGACCUUGCGCGAUUGAAUGAGCCGAUGUCGGAUUAGCUAGUUGGCGGGGUAAAGGCCCACCAAGGCGACGAUCCGUAGCUGGUCUGAGAGGAUGAUCGGCCACACUGGAACUGAGACACGGUCCAGACUCCUACGGGAGGCAGCAGUGGGGAAUAUUGGACAAUGGGCGCAAGCCUGAUCCAGCCAUACCGCGUGGGUGAAGAAGGCCUUCGGGUUGUAAAGCCCUUUUGUUGGGAAAGAAAAGCAGCAGGUUAAUACCCCGCUGUUCUGACGGUACCCAAAGAGUAAGCAACGGCUAACUUCGUG
RNAcentral lists this ribosomal RNA (492 nucleotides) under uncultured bacterium. Its description in RNAcentral is "partial 16S ribosomal RNA". It matches the Rfam family "Bacterial small subunit ribosomal RNA", at positions 29 to 507 of the family's 1533-position model. The record is from RNAcentral.